CUGCAGGGAGGCAUGUUCCUUAGUAAAGUGCUGUUACAGUGGAUUUAUUUUCUGCUCCAUCCUUCCUUUAGGGGGAAGCAGGGAUUGAUGGAAUGAAAGGAGAGAAGGGUGCCCAGGGUGAAAAAGGAGACAGAGGGCCACUGGGAUUACCCGGUGCUUCAGGUUUAGACGGCAGGCCUGGACCACCGGGCACUCCAGGACCAAUUGGGGUUUCGGGACCAGCAGGACCAAAAGGAGAAAGGGUGAGUUUGCUUCAGAACUGAUCAAUGCUCUGUAGUUUCU
This 282-nucleotide long non-coding RNA is filed under the name Athene cunicularia (burrowing owl). RNAcentral describes it as "lncRNA (ENSACUG00000013133.1)". The record is from RNAcentral. Lineage: Eukaryota; Metazoa; Chordata; Aves; Strigiformes; Strigidae.